Long non-coding RNA from Stegastes partitus (bicolor damselfish), 330 nucleotides. RefSeq lists it as uncharacterized. The record is from RefSeq and is a predicted model, not a curated record. The transcript is spliced from 3 exons. NCBI's taxonomy places the organism in Eukaryota, Metazoa, Chordata, Actinopteri, Pomacentridae.
AUCCAGCAGGAGAACAUCCAGCAGAACAUCCAGCAGAACAUCCAGCAGCAGAACAUCCAGCAGAACAUCCAGGAGAACAUCUGAACCAUGAAGACUCUGCUGCCUCUCCUCACUCUGCUCGUCCUCCUGACUCUCAGCUCCUCCAGUGUGCUCGGUCCAAGUGAGGCUCUGAAGGACGGAUGCUGUGAGGGCCACACCAGGUUUCCUGUUCCUAAAAACAAAAUCAGAUGCGUGGUGAUGAGCAACUGCAAGACCAAAGCUGUGAUGUGAGUAUUACUGCUACUACUAUGCCUAGUACUGCUAGUACUACUACUAUCCUGCUAGUACUCC